GGGGCCGUAGCUCAGCUGGGAGAGCACCUGUCUUGCACACAGGAGGUCAGGAGUUCGAUCCUCCUCGGCUCCACCA
RNAcentral lists this transfer RNA (76 nucleotides) under bacterium. Its description in RNAcentral is "tRNA-Ala". It matches the Rfam family "tRNA". Rfam says of the family: Transfer RNA (tRNA) molecules are approximately 80 nucleotides in length. Their secondary structure includes four short double-helical elements and three loops (D, anti-codon, and T loops). The record is from RNAcentral. RNAcentral also lists the same sequence under 2 other names.